RNAcentral lists this ribosomal RNA (466 nucleotides) under uncultured bacterium. RNAcentral describes it as "partial 16S ribosomal RNA". It matches the Rfam family "Bacterial small subunit ribosomal RNA", at positions 28 to 507 of the family's 1533-position model. The record is from RNAcentral.
GACGAACGCUGGCGGCGUGCUUAACACAUGCAAGUCGAACGGUAAGGCUCCAGCUUGCUGGGGUACACGAGUGGCGAACGGGUGAGUAACACGUGGGUGACCUGCCCUGCACUUCGGGAUAAGCCUGGGAAACUGGGUCUAAUACCGGAUAGGACCAUGGUGUGGAUACUGUGGUGGAAAGUUUUUUCGGUGUGGGAUGGGCCCGCGGCCUAUCAGCUUGUUGGUGGGGUAAUGGCCUACCAAGGCGGCGACGGGUAGCCGGCCUGAGAGGGUGGACGGCCACAUUGGGACUGAGACACGGCCCAGACUCCUACGGGAGGCAGCAGUGGGGAAUAUUGCACAAUGGGCGGAGGCCUGAUGCAGCGACGCCGCGUGGGGGAUGACGGCCUUCGGGUUGUAAACUCCUUUCACCAUCGACGAAGGGUUUCUGACGGUAGAUGGAGAAGAAGCACCGGCUAACUACGUG